This 369-nucleotide ribosomal RNA is filed under the name uncultured organism. RNAcentral's name for it is "bacterial SSU rRNA". It matches the Rfam family "Bacterial small subunit ribosomal RNA", at positions 526 to 897 of the family's 1533-position model. The record is from RNAcentral.
CGGAGGGUGCAAGCGUUAUCCGGAUUUACUGGGUUUAAAGGGUGCGUAGGUGGGCGAGAAAGUCAGUGGUGAAAUCUCCGGGCUUAACCCGGAAACUGCCAUUGAUACUAUUUGUCUUGAAUACUUUGGAGGUAAGCGGAAUAUGUCAUGUAGCGGUGAAAUGCUUAGAUAUGACAUAGAACACCAAUUGCGCAGGCAGCUUACUACACAGUAAUUGACACUGAGGCACGAAAGCGUGGGGAUCAAACAGGAUUAGAUACCCUGGUAGUCCACGCCCUAAACGAUGGAUACUCGACAUUAGCGAUAAACGGUUAGUGUCUGAGCGAAAGCAUUAAGUAUCCCACCUGGGAAGUACGAUCGCAAGAUUAG